CUUGGUCAUUUAGAGGAAGUAAAAGUCGUAACAAGGUCUCCGUUGGUGAACCAGCGGAGGGAUCAUUACCGAGUUUACAACUCCCAAACCCCUGUGAACAUACCACUUGUUGCCUCGGCGAAUCAGCCCGCUCCCGGUAAAACGGGACGGCCCGCCAGAGGACCCCUAAACUCUGUUUCUAUAUGUAACUUCUGAGUAAAACCAUAAAUAAAUCAAAACUUUCAACAACGGAUCUCUUGGUUCUGGCAUCGAUGAAGAACGCAGCAAAAUGCGAUAAGUAAUGUGAAUUGCAGAAUUCAGUGAAUCAUCGAAUCUUUGAACGCACAUUGCGCCCGCCAGUAUUCUGGCGGGCAUGCCUGUUCGAGCGUCAUUUCAACCCUCAAGCACAGCUUGGUGUUGGGACUCGCGUUAAUUCGCGUUCCUCAAAUUGAUUGGCGGUCACGUCGAGCUUCCAUAGCGUAGUAGUAAAACCCUCGUUACUGGUAAUCGUCGCGGCCACGCCGUUAAACCCCAACUUCUGAAUGUUGACCUCGGAUCAGGUAGGAAUACCCGCUGAACUUAAGCAUAUCAAUAAGCGGAGGA
RNAcentral lists this ribosomal RNA (582 nucleotides) under uncultured fungus. RNAcentral's name for it is "eukaryotic LSU rRNA". The stretch from base 217 to 370 matches the Rfam family "5.8S ribosomal RNA". The record is from RNAcentral. Lineage: Eukaryota; Fungi.